RNAcentral lists this ribosomal RNA (379 nucleotides) under uncultured eukaryote. RNAcentral's name for it is "partial 18S ribosomal RNA". It matches the Rfam family "Eukaryotic small subunit ribosomal RNA", at positions 592 to 975 of the family's 1831-position model. The record is from RNAcentral.
CAAUAGCGUAUAUUAAAGUUGUUGCAGUUAGAACGCUCGUAGUCGGAUUUCGGGGCGGGCCGACCGGUCUGCCGAUGGGUACGCACUGGUCGGCGCGUUCUUCCUUCCGGAGACCGUUCCUACUCUUAACUGAGCGGGGGCGGGAGACGGAUCGUUUACUUUGAAAAAAUCAGAGUGUUUCAAGCAGGCAGCUCGCUCUUGCAUGGAUUAGCAUGGGAUAAUGAAAUAGGACUUUGGUGCUAUUUUGUUGGUUUCGAACACCGAAGUAAUGAUUAAAAGGGACAGUCAGGGGCACUCGUAUUCCGCCGAGAGAGGUGAAAUUCUCAGACCAGCGGAAGACGAACUACUGCGAAAGCAUUUGCCAGGGAUGUUUUCACUG